Molecule: non-coding RNA, 381 nt
Organism: Microcebus murinus (gray mouse lemur)
Lineage: Eukaryota; Metazoa; Chordata; Mammalia; Primates; Cheirogaleidae
Source: RefSeq, a predicted model, not a curated record
CUCUGGACCACUCUCCUACCUCUGGACCACGAGGCAGAGAAUCAAUGUCUAUCUUGUCCAAAUCACUGUAUUUUGGGGUUUCUUCAUUGAUGGAGCUUUAACCUAUAACCUGAAUAAUGAAACUUCGGAGAAUUUUGUACACAUUACAAAAGAAACACUAGAGUCAAAGUUCACAUGGCCGACCAGUAACAAAGAGUUGAUGGACUGAAUUUUGAGCAGAAUUGCCUGAGAUGAUGGCAUAAUAGUAUGACCAAGGAAAUAUGGGUCCCCUGGAAAACAUGGAACAAGCCACCCUAUCCUUGGGGAAUAUAGGCAACUGGGAUCCUUUCUUCCUCGUUUACCCCUCUGUUAUUUAAGCUCCAUUAAAGCUGCUGAACCAUA